GCGUAUACUAUACCCAAAGUGCGUGUAGUGACGAUAAUUCACACUGGGUUCAACGAAACUGUCGCAAAUUUUGUGGCUUGUGUACAGAUGGUCGUACUACCCAGGUGUCUGCUUGCCAUGAUAAAAUAUCUAACUGUAAGCAGUAUGAACCCGCUGUAUGUAUAGAUGUUUUAUAUAGAUCAUGGAUUGAUGAAAACUGCAGGAAAACAUGUGGUAUAUGUAAAACAGUUGAAACAACCACGCCAGACAUCCACAUACCAACACCAAUGCCAAACAAGAUACCAGUACUACCAUCCUCUAAAACCCCAACCGUUUGAAUAAAGCUGUACAUAAAAUAAUGAACAUAGCAAUUUUAAAAA
Long non-coding RNA from Patella vulgata (common limpet), 359 nucleotides. RefSeq lists it as uncharacterized. NCBI's taxonomy places the organism in Eukaryota, Metazoa, Mollusca, Gastropoda, Patellidae. The record is from RefSeq and is a predicted model, not a curated record. The transcript has 3 exons.